RNAcentral lists this ribosomal RNA (196 nucleotides) under uncultured Staphylococcus sp. Its description in RNAcentral is "partial 16S ribosomal RNA". It matches the Rfam family "Bacterial small subunit ribosomal RNA", at positions 144 to 334 of the family's 1533-position model. Lineage: Bacteria; Bacillati; Bacillota; Bacilli; Caryophanales; Staphylococcaceae. The record is from RNAcentral.
UAACUCCGGGAAACCGGGGCUAAUACCGGAUAACACAUGAAACCGCAUGGUUUCAUGAUGAAAGACGGUUUUGCUGUCACUUAUAGAUGGACCCGCGGCGUAUUAGCUAGUUGGUAAGGUAACGGCUUACCAAGGCAACGAUACGUAGCCGACCUGAGAGGGUGAUCGGCCACACUGGAACUGAGACACGGUCCAG